This 504-nucleotide ribosomal RNA is filed under the name uncultured bacterium. RNAcentral's name for it is "bacterial SSU rRNA". It matches the Rfam family "Bacterial small subunit ribosomal RNA", at positions 8 to 507 of the family's 1533-position model. The record is from RNAcentral.
AGAGUUUGAUCAUGGCUCAGAUUGAACGCUGGCGGCAUGCUUUACACAUGCAAGUCGAGCGGCAGGCGCGGGGGCAACCUGGCGGCGAGCGGCGAACGGGUGAGUAAUGCAUCGGAACGUACCCUGGGAUGGGGGAUAACGCCGCGAAAGCGGCGCUAAUACCGCAUAUGCUCUGAGGAGGAAAGUGGGGGACCGCAAGGCCUCACGCUCUGGGAGCGGCCGAUGUCCGAUUAGCUAGUUGGUGAGGUAAAGGCUUACCAAGGCGACGAUCGGUAGCUGGUCUGAGAGGAUGAUCAGCCACACUGGGACUGAGACACGGCCCAGACUCCUACGGGAGGCAGCAGUGGGGAAUUUUGGACAAUGGGGGCAACCCUGAUCCAGCCAUGCCGCGUGAGUGAAGAAGGCCUUCGGGUUGUAAAGCUCUUUUGGUCGGGAAGAAAGUGCCCUGCUUAAUACGCGGGGUAUUUGACGGUACCGGCAGAAUAAGCACCGGCUAACUACGUG